RNAcentral lists this ribosomal RNA (208 nucleotides) under uncultured bacterium. Its description in RNAcentral is "partial 16S ribosomal RNA". It matches the Rfam family "Bacterial small subunit ribosomal RNA", at positions 568 to 774 of the family's 1533-position model. The record is from RNAcentral.
CGUGUAGGUGGUUAGAUAAGUCAGAUGUGAAAGCUUCCGGCUUAACCGGAAAACUGCAUUUGAAACUGUUUAGCUUGAGUGCGAGAGAGGGUAGCGGAAUUCCCAGUGUAGCGGUGAAAUGCGUAGAUAUUGGGAAGAACACCAGUAGCGAAGGCGGCUACCUGGCUCGCAACUGACGCUAAUGCGCGAAAGCGGUGGGGAGCAAACA